RNAcentral lists this ribosomal RNA (473 nucleotides) under uncultured bacterium. Its description in RNAcentral is "SSU rRNA". It matches the Rfam family "Bacterial small subunit ribosomal RNA", at positions 26 to 518 of the family's 1533-position model. The record is from RNAcentral.
AGGAUGAACGCUGGCGGCGUGCCUAACACAUGCAAGUCGAACGUCCUGUCUCGCAAGAGGCAGGGAGUGGCGGACGGGUGAGUACCACGUGGGUUAUCUACCGUGAGGUGAGGAAUACCGGCGAGAAAUCGCCGACAAGACCGCAUAGCCUCGGUGCAAGCCGAGCAAAGCUCUUUCGAGAGAGGGAGCGCCACACGAGGAGCCUGCGCCCGAUUAGCUAGCUGGUGGAGUAACGGUUCACCAGGGCGACGAUCGGUAGCUGGUCUGAGAGGACGAUCAGCCACACUGGGAUUGAGGACGGCCCAGACUCCUACGGGGGGCAGCAGUGAGGAAUUUUCGUCAAUGGGGGCAACCCUGAACGAGCAACGCCGCGUGCAGGAAGAAGGUUUUCGGAUCGUAAACUGCUUUUCGUCGGGAAGAGAACGGACGGUACCCGAGGAAUCAGCCCCGGCUAACUACGUGCCAGCAGCCGC